GACGAACGCUGGCGGCGUGCUUAACACAUGCAAGUCGAACGGUGACGAGGAGGCUUGCUCCUCCGAUCAGUGGCGAACGGGUGAGUAACACGUGAGCAACCCUGCCCCAGACUCUGGGAUAACAGUUGGAAACAGCUGCUAAUACCGGAUACGAGACGGAGAGGCAUCUCUACCGUCUGGAAAGUUUUUCGGUCUGGGAUGGACUCGCGGCCUAUCAGCUAGUUGGUGAGGUAAUGGCUCACCAAGGCGACGACGGGUAGCCGGCCUGAGAGGGCGACCGGCCACACUGGGACUGAGACACGGCCCAGACUCCUACGGGAGGCAGCAGUGGGGAAUAUUGCACAAUGGGCGAAAGCCUGAUGCAGCGACGCCGCGUGAGGGAUGACGGCCUUCGGGUUGUAAACCUCUUUCAGCAGGGAAGAAGCGCAAGUGACGGUACCUGCAGAAGAAGCACCGGCUAACUACGUG
RNAcentral lists this ribosomal RNA (468 nucleotides) under uncultured bacterium. RNAcentral describes it as "bacterial SSU rRNA". It matches the Rfam family "Bacterial small subunit ribosomal RNA", at positions 28 to 507 of the family's 1533-position model. The record is from RNAcentral.